Molecule: long non-coding RNA, 1144 nt
Organism: Lolium perenne
Lineage: Eukaryota; Viridiplantae; Streptophyta; Magnoliopsida; Poales; Poaceae
Source: RefSeq, a predicted model, not a curated record
UUGAAAGGCACCUUUUUUCCCAUUGACACCCCGCACCGCCGCCAGCCCGCCACCAGUUCUUCCCCCAUCGCCCGCCGGGUCGCCUCCCCGGUUCCCGGCGCUGCCUCCCGAUUCCCCACUGUGCCUCCGACCCAAUCCCCCGGUGCCGCUUCAGCUUGCUUAGUAACCGCCGGUCAGCCCCGUGCGUGUUAAUCCAUGGCAACCGCCGGUCAGCUCCGUGCACGGCAACUGCCUAUCGUGGAGACGGUGGUUCUAAAGCGGGGCAGCGUAGGAGGCGCUGGUGAAGUACAGGGCAGAGUCCGACGUCCGGAAUCUGGUGCUCGGAUCCGCUACCUUGGGUUGGUUCAGGAAGUAUCGACAUUCGAAUUGUUGUGCGUCUCCAUUGGAAAAGCUAAGUUUACUUGGUGCGAAACAAAACUUUGGAUACGCCAGAGCAUACUGCAUACAAAUCUGUUCUAAUUGACUUUGUUGGAGGAAGGAGCAAAAGAUUCAGUCGACUCACUUCAUAUCAUCCCCUGAGAGUUCUUUUCUUUGCAACUUUGGAACGCUCAAGGCGGCGACGGAACUGAAGCGUUUCGGCAAUGGCUGGAUCGAGUUCGGCUGGUGAAGACCUCACUGUCGCUGGCUAGAAUGGCAUCAUCGGCGGCCAGGGCUCUGCCUCCCUGCCCUUCAACAAGUGCCCCAUCUGAAAGGACUGCAAAGUCCUCCCCACCAGCAUUCUGUUCAUGAACAAUCAGAACACGGUGGUGCGCGACAUCAUGUCUGUGAACAGCAAGUUCUUCCACAUCGUGCUGCUGCAGAACAACAACACGAAGAUGAUCAACCUCCGGAUCAGCGCCCCAGAAAACAGCCCAAACACGGAUGGCACCCACAUCGAGCUUAGCAGCGGUGUGAUCAUCGCUGACACCCACAUCAGCACCUGCGACGACUGCAUCUCCAUCGGCCAGGGGAAGUGGGGAACGACAACAUCGACAUCGCACGCGUCCACUGCGGCCCGGGCAAUGCCAUGAGUGUCGGCAGGCUUGGACGCUACGUCGACGAGGGCGACGUCACUCACAUCCACGUCAAAGAUAUGACCUUCGAGGGCACAAUGAAUGGUGUCCGGAUCAAGACAUGGGAGAACUCAGAGCAUCCCCACUCGUCU